UCCUUUUUAGCAUAACAAAUGCGUGUAAUUUGUAAUUACAAGAUCAAUAUCUAAUAGUUGAGUAGGAA
This 68-nucleotide transfer RNA is filed under the name Salpa thompsoni. Its description in RNAcentral is "tRNA-Thr". Lineage: Eukaryota; Metazoa; Chordata; Thaliacea; Salpida; Salpidae. The record is from RNAcentral.